AGAGUUUGAUCAUGGCUCAGGACGAACGCUGGCGGCGCGCUUAAUACAUGCAAGUCGAGCGAGAACCAGGGCUUCGGCCCUGGGGACAGCGGCGAACGGGUGAGUAACACGUGGGUAAUCAACCCCCGACACCGGGAUAGCCCAGGGAAACUUGGAUUAAUACCGGAUGCCCCAUCUGGCUUUCGAGCCGGCUGGAAAAGGGUAGCUUCGGCCUCCGGUCGGGGACGAGCCCGCGGCGGAUUAGCUUGUUGGUGAGGUAAAGGCUCACCAAGGCGACGAUCCGUAGCUGGUCUGAGAGGACGAUCAGCCACACUGGGACUGAGACACGGCCCAGACUCCUACGGGAGGCAGCAGCAGGGAAUCUUGCGCAAUGGGCGAAAGCCUGACGCAGCGACGCCGCGUGAGGGAAGAAGGCCUUCGGGUUGUAAACCUCUUUCAGGAGGGACGAAGCCACUCGGGUUAAUAGCCCAGAGGGUGACGGUACCUCCAGAAGAAGCCCCGGCUAACUACGUGCCAGCCGCCGCGGUAAUAC
RNAcentral lists this ribosomal RNA (532 nucleotides) under uncultured bacterium. RNAcentral's name for it is "bacterial SSU rRNA". It matches the Rfam family "Bacterial small subunit ribosomal RNA", at positions 8 to 526 of the family's 1533-position model. The record is from RNAcentral.